This is an RNA transcript of Lotus japonicus, 1803 nucleotides long. It is a transcript of the gene named general transcription and DNA repair factor IIH subunit TFB4, with no coding region annotated. The transcript has 11 exons. NCBI's taxonomy places the organism in Eukaryota, Viridiplantae, Streptophyta, Magnoliopsida, Fabales, Fabaceae. The record is from RefSeq and is a predicted model, not a curated record.
UACACAUAUUUCACCAAAAUUAAUCAGACCUAAAUCACAAAUCACUCUCUUCUCUAGUAUCUCUUUAGUCUUUUCUCACCGGCCUUCCCGAGCACGUGACCUUUACGGUCCACCGGACCGCCCCGAUCACCACCGCGCACACAACCUCCACCUCCCCCGUCAGCCAGUCCCGCCGCACCGAGACUGGCCGCGCCGCCUCUAGUGUGAAAGACAGUCUUUCCUUCCUUCCUCACCGCCCGCCAUGCCUUCCGCUCCUUCAAAGCUCUACGCAGAUGAUGUUAGCCUUCUCGUCGUCACGCUUGACACCAACCCUUUCUUCUGGAGCACUUUCUCCUCCCCGUUCUCCGAUUUCCUCUCUCAGGUGCUCGCUUUUCUCAACUCGAUCCUCCUCCUCGGUCAGCUUAACCAGGUCGUCGUCAUCGCCACCGGGUGCAAUUCUUGCGGCUACGUUUACGAUUCCGCUUCCGAUAAGAACCAUGCUUCCACAACCGGCACCAUGCCGGCGCUAUAUUCCAAUCUGCUCCGCAACCUUGAACAGUUUGUUGCUAGGGACCAGCAAUUAGCCGCGGCGAAUCAUGCACCGGGAACCGUUCCGUCUUCACUGUUAUCAGGGUCAUUGUCCAUGGCUCUCUGUUAUAUACAGAGAGCUUUUCGUUCAGGGCCGAUGCAUCCUCAACCUCGGAUUCUAUGUUUGCACGGAUCUGCUGAUGGACCAGAGCAGUAUGUGGCAAUCAUGAAUGCAAUAUUUUCUGCGCAACAUUCUACAGUUCCUAUAGAUUCUUGUUAUAUUGGUUCAAACAAUUCAGCGUUCCUUCAGCAGGCUUCAUACAUUACCGGUGGCAUAUAUUACAGGCCUCCCCAACUGGAUGGGCUUUUUCAAUAUCUUUCAACAGUUUUUGCAACUGAUUUGCACUCUCGUGCCUUUUUACGGCUUCCUAAGUCUGUAGGUGUGGACUUUCGUGCCUCGUGCUUCUGCCAUAAGCAAACAAUUGACAUGGGUUAUGUAUGUUCUGUAUGCUUAUCCAUAUUCUGCGAGCAUCACGAUAAGUGUUCAACCUGUGGUUUGCAGAUUGUAGGAACCGGGUCAAAUUGUUAGGACCCCAUUGCAAGGUAUGGGACUUGAGUCCCACAUUGGAAGUAUGGGAUUCUAAUGUGGGGUUUAUAAGGCCUUGGGCUCUCCAACUACAACAGCUAGCUUUUGUGGUGUGGUUCUCCCAAGGUUCUUAUCAAUGGUAUCAGAGCCUUCCACCAUGUCUCUGAGCUGCAAACGAGCGGCGCGGGUGGUGACGCCGGCAUUGCAGUGUUCGCCCGGGACUAGUCGUGGGGCUAGUGCACAGCCAGCCCGCGCCGGGGCUGCGGAGCGUGGUGGGAUGUUAGGACCCCAUUGCAAGGUCUGUAUUUGGCCAGGCUCAAUCUGAUGCUGCCUCAGCAGCCAGUCGUAAAAGAAAGGCUUGACCACAGAUCUUGUAUCGGUGCGCUUCACAUUAAUUUUGCUAAGUCCUUCAAGAGAGUUAAUCUGUUUAGGCUCUCAUACUUGUAGCUUAAUGAAAUUUUGGCAGCAAAUUGCUUUUCUGCCUGUUUGGAUGGGGGAAACUGGAGUUUAUCCUUGUAGAUCUAUAAAAGUCAGCAUCGACCUGGAUAAUUAAGAGCCUUGGCAGCUGCAAGAUCUUUUUGUGUAGGAGCUGCAUAAAAGGCUUUUAUUAUCUGAAAGGUUUUUUCCUUUAGAAGGCUAUGAUUUUCAUUAUGUUCAAAUAGUUAAAUAGCUUUUUUCUCUAAUAGAAUCUGUCCCUUUAUGAUGACGAA